Molecule: long non-coding RNA, 1841 nt
Filed under: Vitis vinifera (wine grape)
Lineage: Eukaryota; Viridiplantae; Streptophyta; Magnoliopsida; Vitales; Vitaceae
Description: long non-coding RNA (VVIN_LNC000300)
Source: RNAcentral
AAUUGUGUUAAAGAAGCUUAAUUGGAACAGGCAAUUGUACCUUUCUCUGAAGAUCGGUGAGUUGAUCCAGCAUGUACUGUGUCUGCAAAAGGAGAAUUUUGUUGAGUGCAUUACUACUAGUACUAGUUGAGUGUGUCAACCCUCCCACCACCCCUAUUUUAAUACUAUACGUAAUUUUAAUAAUUUAUAUCUUUAAAUAUUUUGUCUGAAAAUAAAAGGCAAAAAUUUCUUUCAAAAUUUAAAAUCCCAAGCACACGCUACAUUAAUUCCUAUUUUAAUUUUUGACAAAUAAUUUAUAAAUAAAAAUAAUUGAUAUUUAUGCUAUAAACACUGAAUGAAAGGGCCAGUCCACAUUCAAAUCAAGUCCAAACUCUAACUUUGGGCCUCAACAGUCCAAAGGCCCUCGGGGUGGACUAGUAUUUUGCUUUGCAAAAUUAAAAAUCCGUUUUUAAGAGGUGAUGGAGGCAUUUCGGAGGUAUGUCACUUUCAUUUUUAGGGUGUGUGAAUUAAAGUUUGAUUAGUUGAAUACGAGUUCUUCAAUCCUUUUUAUAACAUUCUAUGACUAUGAUUUGUAAGUUAAUAAAAUAACAAGAGAAAUUAAAUUGAUAUUUCCAACCUAAAUGCAGCAAUGUUAAAAAUUACAUUCUGAUUUCUUACUUACGCUCCCAUUCAUAUUCCAAGGUUUUGGAAACCAGGAAAUCAACCAUUGACAUAGGCAGACGAAAGGCAGGAACGUUAGAGAUUAAAAUUGCAUUCUCCUUCUCGUUCCUAUUACAAUUGACUUCUGGUCAAAUAAGUUCUCCUCUCCAUGUCUCCAGAGAUUUCUAACCCUCAUGGAAUUAUGAUCUUUAAAUUACUCUCUAACAUAGGGCCGUAAUUCUAUGUGGAAGAGGUAUGCACAUUAAUACUAAUGCGAGAAAUAUAAAUGCCGAAUAUUUGGAAUUUCAAACAAUAUGAACUUCUAUGUCUAAUACCCUUCUAGCAAUAUAAAUGCUUAUUUCCAAGUAUAAUCCGGGUUAUCCCUAUGGUGGAUGCCAAGAGAUCCCCUAACCUUCAACACUUGGUGAAGUUGAUAUUGUAUGUAGCUGAAGGUAUGACACACAUCUCUGAAUUGUGACUCUUGGUCUGGUUGUUGAUAUGUCUACUUGUGUUACCGCAUCUUAAUGGUGAAGGAGUCGUUAGUGGACUUAACACAUCUUAAUGGUGAAGGAGUCGUUAAUGGACUACACAUCUUAAUGGUGAAGGAGUCGUUAAUGGACUCAACACUUCUUAAUGGUAGAGUUGGUGUGGUGGAGACACAUCAUCUCUGAAUUGUCACUCUCGGUCUAGUUGAUAUGUCUACUUGAGUUAACACAUCUUAAUAGUGGAGUAGGUCUUGGACUUGACACAUCUUAAUGGUGGAGUUGGUGUGAUGGAGUUGGUCUUUCUUUCCCUUUAAAUGGGAUUGACAUUGAAUGUUUUGAUUAAGUGGUUAGAGUUUGAACACUGUUUUGGUUAGAAUAAGUAGGGGCACGAGAUUGUUGCUGGGAAUAUAUAUCCACUCUCCCAUGAUCACCCAGAAACUCCCUCCAAUCCUCUCACCCCCUAUUUUGCUCCAUUAGGCUCCAAUAUCUCUUAUACUUUUGGUCGGACUCUGUAAAAAAACAGUACCCCAAGGAAACCUACAACCCAGUGUCUUAUUUUAACAAAAUCAAUUCACUCUGAAUUUAACCAAACCCUACAAACACAGUAGUUUCGGUGGCUUAUUCACGUGCGUGGUAAACCCAGCCCUAUAAUUCUAGUUCACUGGGGGACAAGGAUGGAAACAAAACAGUAACCUCUCACACGCAAUAGAAAUAAAA